Molecule: non-coding RNA, 96 nt
Filed under: Streptococcus intermedius
Lineage: Bacteria; Bacillati; Bacillota; Bacilli; Lactobacillales; Streptococcaceae
Also listed under: 1 other name
Description: Guanine sequence
Rfam family: Purine riboswitch aptamer
About the family: Riboswitches are metabolite binding domains within certain messenger RNAs that serve as precision sensors for their corresponding targets.
Source: RNAcentral
AUUAAUAAUAGAAUCAUUACUUAUUUAUAUUAUGAAUUUGGCAUAAUGUUUCUACAAGGUACCUAAUACCUAACAAUAAGUAAGUCUUCAAAUUUC